AGAAGCAAGGUCUUGUGGUGCCUUUUUUAAAACUGAGCGAAAGCCUAUUUCAAUAAAACUCGGUCGGAAAGAUAAAGAUAACAUAAGCUUGUUCACCCAAUUUGCACAAAAGUCCAUGGAUACACGUUUACAUAGAGACGUAAUGUUCUUUUUUUCUUAGGAAUCUCCGCCGGCCGCCGCGCGGCUACAUCCGCUGCCGCACGCCCUGCGGCGCGCCGCCCAGCUGCCUUCGCCGCCGCAGUGAGUACGUGCCCGUGCUGGUCGCCCCGCCCACCGUCUGCGCCUCCACGCGCCCGCCUUUCCACUCGGGUAGCCACCGCCUUGAGCCCUGCCAUUUGGAGCGCGCGUCAGCCGUCUACACGUACGCGGCCUGGAAGGCGCCGUCCGAGGCGAGCCACGGCAAUCUUGGCGACCAUACCAGCGCGGCCUCGCUCUCCGCCGUGCAGGGCUGCGGCCGUGCGUCGUCGCAAAGAGGAGCCGGCCUCCCCCCACCCCCGUCACCGUGCAGGAGAAUGGAGGAGAACCGGUGGAAUUGAGGGAGUGAGGCGAGCAGAGCGGGCGAGAUUCAGUAUCUGGCUAGUAGGCAGACGAAGUUCCGGUAGACGACCACCGGCACUGAGCGGCGACGGAGGCCGACAUAGACACCAUUCAUAGUUGGGGAUGGGAGCACAGAGUUUGGAUCAGGAGCAGAGAUGCUGAGAACUAUAAUACAACCGAGAGGAGAUCCAAGGGACUGUAAUACCUUCUCAAUAGGAACUUCAUGGGUUUUGCACCACGCCACGGUGAUUCUUGGAUCAAGGUUGUCCUUAGAAGAUGAAGGGCUCUUCUUUUUCUUCUUCACAAUAUCCUUUGCAGACGGCUUUCUUUUUGAAGGCUCGCCGACUGUCAGCCUUCGUGCGAGAGGUACAUUGUCACUUCCAUCAUCCUCUGAACUUGCAGAGGCAGAACUGUUUGUACACUUUGCCUUCUUAAGAGCUGAACUUGGCUGAAUAUUGCUAUCACAUGGCCUCUUGACUGAAUUUCGGGUAGCACUACUUGCACUACUGUUCAACGCCUCCUUGUUAGGUUCGAUCGGCAUGUCCACGGAAUUUCGAGUAACGAGUGAAAAACGGGCAGCCAAUGGCUUAUCAUCCUCUGAAUCAUCAUCGUCGGAGGCGCUGCCUCCACUUGGUGAAGCGGCGUCCUUGAACAACCUUGCGGAGAGUGGUUUCUCAUCAUCUUCUGAAUCUGAAUCGGCGCUACAUGUGGUGAUUCUCUGGAAUUUCCUGUCAUCGGCCUUUUUCCUCAGUGCAAGUGGGGUGGGCAUGUUGUUUUGCUUCAGAGAGGCACUCGGCCUCUUGAAGGAGACUGGGCCGUCGAAUUCGUCACCGUCGCUGUCAAACGUAUGGGCAGCCGCCGGCAUUGCUUCUUCCUCAAGGUGGCAGGACCGCAGGAGGAUGCCGGAUUGAACGGACAGGCCUGCAAGCUACCACGGUUCACCCGUUCAAGAUCAUCAAACACGACGCUAAGACCCAUGGUGACCUUGGGAGCCAAGAGCCAAGGCCAGGCCCGGACAGGGAGGGAGAGACCUGAAGUUACCUUGGGCGCGUGGCCGCGCGAGUGGCAGGCAGUUCUUCUCCCUUUGCUCCGGCGAGGCCGAGGGGUCGCCGGGGAAAGAGGCCGGCGUGGAGGUAGGGUUACUGCGGGUCUGCGGCACGACGUGAAGUAUCUCUCUUUUUUCUCUCUCUCUCCCUCUCUCCCCCUUAUAUACUGCCUUGGCAGAUACAGCGCGACGGUGAUGUCGGUUCCUUGAUUUUUGGAUUUGGAAACCCCGCGUCGCCGACCUUUUC
Triticum aestivum (bread wheat) is the source of this 1829-nucleotide long non-coding RNA. RefSeq lists it as uncharacterized. The record is from RefSeq and is a predicted model, not a curated record. Lineage: Eukaryota; Viridiplantae; Streptophyta; Magnoliopsida; Poales; Poaceae. The transcript is spliced from 4 exons.